This 205-nucleotide unclassified non-coding RNA is filed under the name soil metagenome. RNAcentral describes it as "partial contains 5.8S ribosomal RNA, internal transcribed spacer 2, and large subunit ribosomal RNA". The record is from RNAcentral.
AACCUUAUGGACCUGCGGGCGUAUACCUGCGGAGGGAUCAUUAUAGAGUUUUCUAAACUCCCAACCCAUGUGAACUUACCUUUUGUUGCCUCGGCAGAAGUUAUAGGUCUUCUUAUAGCUGCUGCCGGUGGACCAUUAAACUCUUGUUAUUUUAUGUAAUCUGAGCGUCUUAUUUUAAUAAGUCAAAACUUUCAACAAUGGAUCU